GUGCUUGCUCUGGCAGGGCACACACAAAAAAUUGGAAUGACAGAGAUUACCAUGGCCCCUGCAGAAAGGUGACAACCAAAUUCAAGAUGGUCUCAUAUUUAU
Molecule: small nuclear RNA, 102 nt
Organism: Rhinopithecus bieti (black snub-nosed monkey)
Lineage: Eukaryota; Metazoa; Chordata; Mammalia; Primates; Cercopithecidae
Source: Ensembl